ACACGACUUGUCUUUUUAAUUGCGCACUAAUAAGGACCACGAGAGAUGACGGAGAUCGGGAACAAUCUGGCUGAGAGGGGAGAAGCUUUCCUGCUGACCAACGUCCCAUUUCCAGCUCAGCGUGUCGCAGAUGAAUCAGAGUCUUGUGUUGGUUGGUUGGUUGGUUGGACGGACGGACAGACGGACGGAUGUGUUGUUGCUGAGCUACAGUUGCUCUGUAUAAGAAUGGGCGGUGAAAAAUCCAAAACGACAAACAGAACAAUGAUUUUUGGCAGAGGAGGAAUUUGUGAUAUUGAUGCAAUCUGUUGCAAGCCUGUGGCUGUCUGAGGAAACCCACGAGCGAAGCUGCGUGGUCUCGGUCCAGCUGUGCGUCUGAAACGAUGAUCAGCUCCAACCACACACAAGAGACCAGGGGAAUAAAUACGCCGUCUCCUGAUACAAGCGUCAGAUUUCACUCCAGUCGUGGGCGUUUACCCCCGGCGCCGCGAGCCCACGGAUGGAGCGCUAGUCAAGGACGUUCAGUUUUAGCUCCGGGUUCUGUCUGAACUCCAGCAUCAGACCCGGACCUGAAUGCCAGCAGCACCACACCUCCAUCAGGCCAGUAACUCCCGUCCCUGUGUCGUGUCCUUGCAGCUGAACGUUUCAUGAUAUUGAUGCCUUUGUAAAAGAAUAUUAUGACUGCAUCAAUGAGACUGGGUUCGGAGCGGGACUCAAACCCGGGCCAAUAGAGCUGCAUGAAGCUCUGAAACAUUUUCUACAAACUACCUCUGGCAGAACAUGAUUAUUAAACAUCUAAGAAAAUGUAAACGUCAA
Molecule: long non-coding RNA, 813 nt
Organism: Xiphophorus couchianus (Monterrey platyfish)
Lineage: Eukaryota; Metazoa; Chordata; Actinopteri; Cyprinodontiformes; Poeciliidae
Exons: 5
Source: RefSeq, a predicted model, not a curated record